GACGAACGCUGGCGGCGUGCCUAAUACAUGCAAGUAGAACGCUGAAGAGAAGAGCUUGCUCUUCUUGGAUGAGUUGCGAACGGGUGAGUAACGCGUAGGUAACCUGCCUGGUAGCGGGGGAUAACUAUUGGAAACGAUAGCUAAUACCGCAUAAAAUUGAUUAUUGCAUGAUAAUUAAUUGAAAGAUGCAAUUGCAUCACUACCAGAUGGACCUGCGUUGUAUUAGCUAGUUGGUGAGGUAACGGCUCACCAAGGCGACGAUACAUAGCCGACCUGAGAGGGUGAUCGGCCACACUGGGACUGAGACACGGCCCAGACUCCUACGGGAGGCAGCAGUAGGGAAUCUUCGGCAAUGGGGGGAACCCUGACCGAGCAACGCCGCGUGAGUGAAGAAGGUUUUCGGAUCGUAAAGCUCUGUUGUAAGAGAAGAACGGGUGUGAGAGUGGAAAGUUCACA
This 456-nucleotide ribosomal RNA is filed under the name Streptococcus sanguinis. RNAcentral's name for it is "bacterial SSU rRNA". It matches the Rfam family "Bacterial small subunit ribosomal RNA", at positions 28 to 468 of the family's 1533-position model. Lineage: Bacteria; Bacillati; Bacillota; Bacilli; Lactobacillales; Streptococcaceae. The record is from RNAcentral.